GCUCCUCUCCCCUCUUGUCCUCUCCUCUCCGCUCCUUUCCUCCAGAGUUUACCUCCAGGAUUCUGCAAUGUGACCUUGGUACUAAACAAACCUCCUCACUGGCUACCUGCCACCGCGCAGCUCCUAAUGAUGGACGACGCAGGCAGAGGCGAGCGUUUCUGAGUUUUCUGCAUUUCGCCCUGGAGAUGAUCCAUCCGUCCCACUGACCUCAGUGGAAAGUUCCAGCUCCUGCUUCUUGCGCCUCCGCAGACACUUCACCACGACCAUGGCCAGGAUCAGCAGGGCCAGCAGCCCCCCCACCGAGGC
Molecule: long non-coding RNA, 306 nt
Organism: Polyodon spathula (Mississippi paddlefish)
Lineage: Eukaryota; Metazoa; Chordata; Actinopteri; Acipenseriformes; Polyodontidae
Exons: 3
Source: RefSeq, a predicted model, not a curated record